Molecule: ribosomal RNA, 1083 nt
Filed under: Siminovitchia fortis
Lineage: Bacteria; Bacillati; Bacillota; Bacilli; Caryophanales; Bacillaceae
Description: bacterial SSU rRNA
Rfam family: Bacterial small subunit ribosomal RNA
Source: RNAcentral
UGGGAGGAGGGGCGGCGUGCCUAUACAUGCAAGUCGAGCGGAUGAAGAGGAGCUUGCUCCUUGGAUUCAGCGGCGGACGGGUGAGUAACACGUGGGCAACCUGCCUGUAAGACUGGGAUAACUCCGGGAAACCGGGGCUAAUACCGGAUAACUUCUUUUCUCGCAUGGGAAGAGGUUGAAAGACGGUUUUGCUGUCACUUACAGAUGGGCCCGCGGCGCAUUAGCUAGUUGGUGGGGUAACGGCCUACCAAGGCAACGAUGCGUAGCCGACCUGAGAGGGUGAUCGGCCACACUGGGACUGAGACACGGCCCAGACUCCUACGGGAGGCAGCAGUAGGGAAUCUUCCGCAAUGGACGAAAGUCUGACGGAGCAACGCCGCGUGAGUGACGAAGGCCUUCGGGUCGUAAAACUCUGUUAUCAGGGAAGAACAAGCAUCAUUUAACUGAUGGUGCCUUGACGGUACCUGACCAGAAAGCCACGGCUAACUACGUGCCAGCAGCCGCGGUAAUACGUAGGUGGCAAGCGUUGUCCGGAAUUAUUGGGCGUAAAGCGCGCGCAGGCGGCUUCUUAAGUCUGAUGUGAAAGCCCACGGCUCAACCGUGGAGGGUCAUUGGAAACUGGGAGGCUUGAGUGCAGAAGAGAAGAGCGGAAUUCCACGUGUAGCGGUGAAAUGCGUAGAGAUGUGGAGGAACACCAGUGGCGAAGGCGGCUCUUUGGUCUGUAACUGACGCUGAGGCGCGAAAGCGUGGGGAGAGAACAGGAUUAGAUACCCUGGUAUUCCACGCCGUAAACGAUGAGUGCUAAGUGUUAGGGGGUUUCCGCCCCUUAGUGCUGCAGCAAACGCAUUAAGCACUCCGCCUGGGGAGUACGGCCGCAAGGCUGAAACUCAAAGGAAUUGACGGGGGCCCGCACAAGCGGUGGAGCAUGUGGUUUAAUUCGAAGCAACGCGAAGAACCUUACCAGUCUUGACAUCCCGCUGACCGGUGCAGAGAUGUAGCCUUUCCCUUCGGGACAGCGGUGACAGGUGGUGCAUGAUUGUCGUCAGCUCGUGUCGUGAGAUUGUUGGGUUAAGUCCCCGCCAC